UAUCCCAACAUUUACCUUAAAAUUUUUGACCUAAAAUUUGAUUUUUGGCUUCCCAAUUUCAGAAAUCAUUGCAAUUGAUUUCCGUUUAUCAUGCUACUGAACAUCUGAAACCUUAAAAUCAAAUUUCCAUUACUUUCUUUUCUCUUUGGCGAUUCUUCUUUUGAUCGUUAGGUUUAAAUCAGUAAUGGGUUUGUUUAUUUUCACACAUAGAACGACGUCAAAGAAAUCAAAGUGAACAACUGCGAGGGUCAAGGUUGAGCAUCCUGAUCAAGCCAAGUUUGAACAACUCAGUAAAGAAAUUGUUGAAUCUGCUGCUGCAUUUUCCAUCUCUUCACCAACACACAUCAGUAGCCCCAAAACCACAGGGGAAAGUGAUGGAAAAGAUUAUUCAACAAGCUGGACACAAACAAACUGAAUUUCAUCUCAGAGAACCUAUGUCGGGCCUCACAAUCGUGGUUGAUGGCAGUUUAAUAUCACAACCGAAAGGAGGUUGCAUAAUUAAUUUUGAAGUCCUAUCCUACCCAAAUUUUAAGUGAAUGAGAAAAUAGUUUGAAGAUUGCAGGAUGGUUGCAUGAUCAUGUAGUACCUGAUGGGUCGAGGGAGAGACUGAUUUGAUUGUCACAUUACAUUUCUUUGUCAAUCCUUCAGAAAUUUGAGCAAUGGAGAAUCUUGGAAUCAUCGAGCAAGGUCGACUAUGGCAGUAGAUUGAUACCACAGUCAACAAUCCUUGCUCUACUUUGACAGAUGAUUGAUACCACAACGGAUGCAGUUAACAAUCCACUCUCUGUUGAAGUCGUACAAUUAUUUAUGUAAAAUGACUACUUUGAAUUGAGAAGUUACUGAAAGAAAAUUUUAGUUCUUACUUCUUGAAUUUUGAUGUUUAUCAGUCCGGAACAGAAUGCAAUGAAAU
Molecule: long non-coding RNA, 910 nt
Organism: Papaver somniferum (opium poppy)
Lineage: Eukaryota; Viridiplantae; Streptophyta; Magnoliopsida; Ranunculales; Papaveraceae
Exons: 5
Source: RefSeq, a predicted model, not a curated record